RNAcentral lists this ribosomal RNA (919 nucleotides) under uncultured organism. Its description in RNAcentral is "bacterial SSU rRNA". It matches the Rfam family "Bacterial small subunit ribosomal RNA", at positions 589 to 1495 of the family's 1533-position model. The record is from RNAcentral.
CCGGCGUGAAAGGCAGGGGCUCAACCUCUGGACUGCGUUGGAUACUUCCGUGCUUGAGGACUGGAGGGGAGACUGGAAUUCACGGUGUAGCAGUGAAAUGCGUAGAUAUCGUGAGGAAGACCGGUGGCGAAGGCGAGUCUCUGGACAGAUCCUGACGCUGAGGCACGAAGGCUGGGGGAGCGAACAGGAUUAGAUACCCUGGUAGUCCCAGCAGUAAACGAUGUGAGCUUGAUGUGGGGGGAUUCGACCCCUUCCGUGUCGAAGCUAACGCGAUAAGCUCACCGCCUGAGGAGUACGGCCGCAAGGCUAAAACUCAAAGAAAUUGACGGGGACCCGCACAAGCGGUGGAGUAUGUGGCUUAAUUCGAUGCAACGCGAAGAACCUUACCUGGCCUUGACAUGCAUUGUGUCGUCGGUGAAAGCCGGCUAGUCCUGGAAACAGGACGCUUUGCACAGGUGCUGCAUGGCUGUCGUCAGCUCGUGUCGUGAGAUGUUGGGUUAAGUCCCGCAACGAGCGCAACCCUUGUGGUCAGUUACUAACCGGCUUAGCCGGAGGACUCUGGCCAGACUGCCCUGUCAAACGGGGAGGAAGGUGGGGACGACGUCAAGUCAGUAUGGCCCUUAUGGCCAGGGCUGCACACGUACUACAAUGCCCGGUACAAUGUGAACCGAAACCGCGAGGUGGAGGAAAUCGCUCUUGAAAACCGGGCCCAGUUCGGAUUGGAGUCUGCAACUCGACUCCAUGAAGUCGGAAUCGCUAGUAAUGGCGUAUCAGCAACGACGCCGUGAAUACGUUCCCGGGUCUUGUACACACCGCCCGUCACAUCAUGGAAGUCUCCUGUACCCGAAGCACGUGCGCCAACACUUUCAGGAGGCAGCGUUCGAAGGUAUCCUUCGGUACUGGGAUGAAGUGUAACAAG